GAGCGGAAAAUGCUUAGUACGGCGAGUGAGCGGCAAAGCUCAAAUUUGAAAUCUGGCGCCUUCGGUGUCCGAGUUGUAAUUUGAAGAAGGCUACUUUGGAGUUGGCUCUUGUCUAUGUUCCUUGGAACAGGACGUCACAGAGGGUGAGAAUCCCGUGCGAUGAGAUGCCCAAUUCUUUGUAAAGUGCUUUCGAAGAGUCGAGUUGUUUGGGAAUGCAGCUCUAAGUGGGUGGUAAAUUCCAUCUAAAGCUAAAUAUUUGCGAGAGACCGAUAGCGAACAAGUACAGUGAUGGAAAGAUGAAAAGAACUUUGAAAAGAGAGUGAAAAAGUACGUGAAAUUGUUGAAAGGGAAGGAUUUGAGAUCAGACUUGGUAUUUUGCAACCUUACCCUCGUGGUGGGGCCCCUGCAGUUUACUGGGCCAGCAUCAGUUUGGAUGAUGGGAUAAUGACUAAGGAAUGUGGCUCUGCUUCGGUGGAGUGUUAUAGACUUGGUUGAUACCGUCUAUCUAGACUGAGGACUGCGUCUUUUGACAAGGAUGUUGGCAUAAUGAUCUAAGCUCACCCCCUCUUGAAACACGGACCAAGCG
RNAcentral lists this ribosomal RNA (586 nucleotides) under Priceomyces carsonii. RNAcentral describes it as "eukaryotic LSU rRNA". It matches the Rfam family "Eukaryotic large subunit ribosomal RNA", at positions 67 to 672 of the family's 3401-position model. Lineage: Eukaryota; Fungi; Ascomycota; Pichiomycetes; Serinales; Debaryomycetaceae. The record is from RNAcentral.